CUUGCUGCUUCGCUGACGAGUGGCGGACGGGUGAGUAAUGUCUGGGAAACUGCCUGAUGGAGGGGGAUAACUACUGGAAACGGUAGCUAAUACCGCAUAACGUCGCAAGACCAAAAAGGGGGACCUUCGGGCCUCUUGCCAUCGGAUGUGCCCAGAUGGGAUUAGCUAGUAGGUGGGGUAACGGCUCACCUAGGCGACGAUCCCUAGCUGGUCUGAGAGGAUGACCAGCCACACUGGAACUGAGACACGGUCCAGACUCCUACGGGAGGCAGCAGUGGGGAAUAUUGCACAGUGGGCGCAAGCCUGAUGCAGCCAUGCCGCGUGUAUGAAGAAGGCCUUCGGGUUGUAAAGUACUUUCAGCGGGGAGGAAGGGAGUAAAGUUAAUACCUUUGCUCAUUGACGUUACCCGCAGAAGAAGCACCGGCUAACUCCGUGCCAGCAGCCGCGGUAAUACGGAGGGUGCAAGCGUUAAUCGGAAUUACUGGGCGUAAAGCGCACGCAGGCGGUUUGUUAAGUCAGAUGUGAAAUCCCCGGGCUCAACCUGGGAACUG
This 551-nucleotide ribosomal RNA is filed under the name uncultured bacterium. Its description in RNAcentral is "bacterial SSU rRNA". It matches the Rfam family "Bacterial small subunit ribosomal RNA", at positions 79 to 623 of the family's 1533-position model. The record is from RNAcentral.